UAAUACGAAGGGCCCGAGCGUUAUUCGGAAUCACUGGGCUUAAAGCGUACGUAGGCUGGUAUAUAGGCGUCUUGUGAAAUCCCUCGGCUCAACCGAGGAACUGCAAGGCGAACCAUAUAUCUUGAGACAGACAGAGGCCGUCGGAACGAUUGGUGGAGUGGUGAAAUGCGUUGAUAUCAAUCGGAACGCCGAAGGAGAAGUCAGGCGACUGGGCCUGUUCUGACGCUGAGGUACGAAAGCGUGGGUAGCGAACGGGAUUAGAUACCCCGGUAGUCCACGCCGUAAACGAUGUGCACUAGGUCGAGGGCGUUCUGACGCGACUCUCGGCCGAAGCGAAAGUGUUAAGUGCACCGCCUGGGGAGUACGGUCGCAAGGCUA
This 378-nucleotide ribosomal RNA is filed under the name uncultured Planctomycetota bacterium. RNAcentral's name for it is "bacterial SSU rRNA". It matches the Rfam family "Bacterial small subunit ribosomal RNA", at positions 521 to 896 of the family's 1533-position model. Lineage: Bacteria; Pseudomonadati; Planctomycetota. The record is from RNAcentral.